This is a long non-coding RNA of Aegilops tauschii subsp. strangulata, 923 nucleotides long. RefSeq lists it as uncharacterized. The record is from RefSeq and is a predicted model, not a curated record. NCBI's taxonomy places the organism in Eukaryota, Viridiplantae, Streptophyta, Magnoliopsida, Poales, Poaceae.
AAGUCUUCCCGUAUCCCCCGUAUCCCCAUCCCACGCCAAUCCCCAUUACUCUCCCCGUCUCCCGGAUCCCACGCCGGUGCAUCUCCCAGCUCCCUCCCCCCACCUGCUUCCUCCACCUCCAGACGAUGCUGACGGCCAGAUCACGCAGGAGCCUGUGGUCCUCCUCCACCUUCAGUUCGUCUCCUCUCCAGUCGCGCCGCCACCCUGUUCGUGGUCGAGCCGCGGCGAGCAGCAGAGGACCGCCACCGGCUCGUCCACAACCAAUCGGCGAGCAGCAGAGCAGAGGACCCCGUAGCCGCCUACCGCGCCAACCUCCCUCCCUCCUCACGAACGAAGCCAUAGCCCACGGCCAUGGCUAGGGUUUGUACAGUUUUUCCCCAUCUCAUCUGGUAGACCAAAUCAAAGUUCUGCACCUCCUAGUCUCCUAGGCUUGUUACUGUACAGCGGCAACAAAAAUUUCAACACUUUGUUUGCAAGGAAGGGGGUCAUGGAGAUCUCGACGGCGGUGGGUCACACAGGAGGGUGGCGUGGGUCUCAGGAUCACCGCCUCGCCGAUGUGGUCCCUUCCGUCUCUGCCGGAGCAGCGAACGCCUUUGCUUGGUGCUUGACCAAUUGGGCCAGAUAUUUAGGAAAUUGACCUGAAGGUGCUAAAGUUUUGGAACAAGUUGCAUCUGGAUCAAAGGGCAACAUAUUUGCUUAUCGUGAAGACGCUUGCAAGGAUGCAGCGGGAGCAGAUCAUUUGGAGAGAUAGGAUGCCACAGUUUGGUCUUUCUAUGCAUUUUUGGUUUGCCUGUAAUUCUGUUUGCCUUGGCAAGAACUGUAGGUGUCUGGAUAUGCUCUAAUGCUCCUGGUUUACUAUAAAUCUUGGAUUUGUAAUGAUGUAUAAUGAUGUGUAAUGCAUAAAAUGGAAUUUGUGGAUUUUA